GUGAACUUUGGACAAUAUGUUGCAUAUGCCUCAGUUGUGUGAGAUUACAGAACAGGAGAGAGAAGACAUAUCAGGUGUUGGUGAUAACAAUGUACAUGUUACUCCGGUUGGUGUUACUGUGAGAGGUUCACAAGGUAUGGCCACUGGGGUGGGGCGGGGGGCUCAGUUGGCCAGUAUGGGGGAACAUAGUGCUAGAGCCAGUCCUCUUAGAUACCCAGCAGUCGACACUAGAGUGCCAAGUGUCAGUAGUAGCCAACCAGAGCAUGUUAGCAGUAGCCAACCAGGCAACGAUGACAGUGAAGAGUCCCAGAAGGCCAUAGGGGGUGAAAAUGAGAACCGAACCCAAUUGCAAGCCCUAGCAGAUUAGUCAAACAACUGGGCAGUGAAAUAGGUAAUCAAGUUGCCGCUAGUCUAGCAGGGGCUGGUCCAAGCACUUCCCCUCCCCAACCAAUAGUAGAAAUACCUGAUUGGUCAAAGGUCAACCUAAUUCUGAAGUCAGACGUCAGAGAACCACCCCACUUCCGGGGUGAUAGCACAGACCGGUGCACAGUGACUGAAUGGCAAGAACUUA
Molecule: long non-coding RNA, 571 nt
Filed under: Salmo salar (Atlantic salmon)
Lineage: Eukaryota; Metazoa; Chordata; Actinopteri; Salmoniformes; Salmonidae
Description: lncRNA (ENSSSAG00000118235.1)
Source: RNAcentral